Branchiostoma floridae (Florida lancelet) is the source of this 308-nucleotide long non-coding RNA. RefSeq lists it as uncharacterized. The transcript is spliced from 2 exons. The record is from RefSeq and is a predicted model, not a curated record. NCBI's taxonomy places the organism in Eukaryota, Metazoa, Chordata, Leptocardii, Amphioxiformes, Branchiostomatidae.
AUGUACCUAAGUGUGUUCAUAUAUAGGAUAAUAUCAGACAUGACUUCUUUCCUUGUUGACUAUGAUUUUAAUGCUGGCAGUGUUAUACUAGAUAAUCAUUUGUACUUAAGUACAUGCUAUUGUUAAAACACAACCUGUACAUAUUGACUGUGGCUAGGUUAAAAAUGAUAUGCUGUCCCAAAUGCAUUUUAUUACUUGUAAGAGCUGUGUGCAAAGUGCUUGUAUUGAGCCCUAUUGUACAUACAUCUUUAAUGAAAGAUGUUAACAGCUGUUGACAAUUCAAUAAAUAAAAUUUCCUGUUAUCCAGU